This 288-nucleotide small RNA is filed under the name human gut metagenome. RNAcentral's name for it is "5' ureB small RNA". It matches the Rfam family "5' ureB small RNA". The record is from RNAcentral.
UCAAUCUGUGUAGGACUGAUAAAAUGAAUAUGGGUAUCCAUACCCCCUGCGGUCACGAUCAGCCCUUCCCCUGCAAUGAUUUCGGUACCUGCUCCAAUAAUCAGGUUUUCAUCCACCCCAUCCAUGAUCGCCGGAUUUCCGGCUUUCCCGAUUCCGCAGAUUUUUCCAUCUUUCAUGCCAAUAUCCGCUUUUACGAUUCCCCAGUAAUCAACAAUGACAGCACUUGUGAUAACCGUAUCCGGGCAGUCCUGAUCUCUUACUUUACAGGACUGUCCCAUGCCGUCCCUC